This 492-nucleotide ribosomal RNA is filed under the name uncultured bacterium. RNAcentral describes it as "partial 16S ribosomal RNA". It matches the Rfam family "Bacterial small subunit ribosomal RNA", at positions 29 to 507 of the family's 1533-position model. The record is from RNAcentral.
AGUGAACGCUGGCGGUAGGCCUAACACAUGCAAGUCGAACGGCAGCACAGUAAGAGCUUGCUCUUACGGGUGGCGAGUGGCGGACGGGUGAGGAAUACAUCGGAAUCUACUUUUUCGUGGGGGAUAACGUAGGGAAACUUACGCUAAUACCGCAUACGACCUACGGGUGAAAGCAGGGGAUCUUCGGACCUUGCGCGACUGAAUUAGCCGAUGUCGGAUUAGCUAGUUGGCUGGGUAAAGGCCCACCAAGGCGACGAUCCGUAGCUGGUCUGAGAGGAUGAUCAGCCACACUGGAACUGAGACACGGUCCAGACUCCUACGGGAGGCAGCAGUGGGGAAUAUUGGACAAUGGGCGCAAGCCUGAUCCAGCCAUACCGCGUGGGUGAAGAAGGCCUUCGGGUUGUAAAGCCCUUUUGUUGGGAAAGAAAAGCAGCAGGUUAAUACCCCGCUGUUCUGACGGUACCCAAAGAAUAAGCACCGGCUAACUUCGUG